GCUCAACCGGGGAGGGUCAUUGGAAACUGGGGAACUUGAGUGCAGAAGAGGAGAGUGGAAUUCCACGUGUAGCGGUGAAAUGCGUAGAGAUGUGGAGGAACACCAGUGGCGAAGGCGACUCUCUGGUCUGUAACUGACGCUGAGGCGCGAAAGCGUGGGGAGCGAACAGGAUUAGAUACCCUGGUAGUCCACGCCGUAAACGAUGAGUGCUAAGUGUUAGAGGGUUUCCGCCCUUUAGUGCUGCAGCAAACGCAUUAAGCACUCCGCCUGGGGAGUACGGUCGCAAGACUGAAACUCAAAGGAAUUGACAGGGGCCCGCACAAGCGGUGGAGCAUGUGGUUUAAUUCGAAGCAACGCGAAGAACCUUACCAGGUCUUGACAUCCUCUGACAACCCUAGAGAUAGGGCUUCCCCUUCGGGGGCAGAGUGACAGGUGGUGCAUGGUUGUCGUCAGCUCGUGUCGUGAGAUGUUGGGUUAAGUCCCGCAACGAGCGCAACCCUUGAUCUUAGUUGCCAGCAUUCAGUUGGGCACUCUAAGGUGACUGCCGGUGACAAACCGGAGGAAGGUGGGGAUGACGUCAAAUCAUCAUGCCCCUUAUGACCUGGGCUACACACGUGCUACAAUGGGCAGAACAAAG
Molecule: ribosomal RNA, 637 nt
Filed under: uncultured bacterium
Lineage: Bacteria
Description: bacterial SSU rRNA
Rfam family: Bacterial small subunit ribosomal RNA
Source: RNAcentral